This is a long non-coding RNA of Exaiptasia diaphana, 405 nucleotides long. RefSeq lists it as uncharacterized. The transcript has 3 exons. The record is from RefSeq and is a predicted model, not a curated record. Lineage: Eukaryota; Metazoa; Cnidaria; Anthozoa; Actiniaria; Aiptasiidae.
CUGGAGACCGUCACUAUUUAAGGGCGCUACUGUGAGGUACUGCUUUAGUUUCUUCGAGUCGUCGUGACAAGUGAAGAGCAAGCAAAAACAAAGUUGUUUCUGGUUUUAUUUGGUGUGUUUCAGGCGCUUCUUUACAGUUAAAACAUGAAGUCAAAGCUAAUCUUGGUGUUGGCCGUUUUGCUUUUGUUAGAGGCUGUUUCUGUUCCUGCUGAACGUCCCCGCUCUAGUUAUAGACGAGGAAGUAAAAAACGGCUCAACAAAAGAGAAGAUCAACACGCCUCUACAAUCAAUCGUCAGCGCUCUGACACAGCGUUCUCGGAUGAUGACCAGAGAUUGUCGUACUGAAUGAUAAAAUGAAAGUAAAUUUGAAUAGAGCAAAAAUUAAAUAAAGAACGUUAAAGGAUA